This 702-nucleotide small RNA is filed under the name Pan troglodytes (chimpanzee). RNAcentral describes it as "processed transcript". The record is from RNAcentral. Lineage: Eukaryota; Metazoa; Chordata; Mammalia; Primates; Hominidae.
AUUGAGGGGCAUCCCGCCUAGAACCUCCAGGAAAAGCUCGCGGAAGACGAGGUUCUGCGGAGAGAGAGGCUCCAAGCAGUCUGGGAAGUGUAGUCCAGUUGGCUUAGCAGUAGUUUCGUGGGGGGGAGCCGAGGUUCCGGGAAGGGGCUAGGCCGGCUUGAAAAGAGAUUAUGACUGUACCUUUUAACUCUGUAGCUGGAACACAAGAAGUGUUUGUUUAAUGAAUGACGUACACAUUUAAGAUCUGUUUGGACGCUGAGGAUAAUCCUGUGAAUUGCUAAUAGUUCACUGGGUUUGGCCCUUAGUGUUGACUUCAGUAUGCUGAGACGGAAACCAACACGCCUAGAGCUAAAGCUUGAUGACAUUGAAGAGUUUGAGAACAUUCGAAAGGACCUGGAGGCAUAAAGACCAGAACCCCUAAUUCAGAAAAGAGUCAAUUUCAGAAGGGACUACCAAAGAAAGAAGCCUAAAAUCUUGGUUCUGGUGUGACUCUAGAUGGAAUCUUGCUAUGUUGCCCAGGCUGGAAUGCAAUGGCUAUUCACAGGCAUGAUCCCACUACUGAUCAAUACAGGAGUUUUGACCUGCUCCAUUUCUGAUCUAGGCUGGUUCACCAGGCAACCUGGUGGUUCCCUGCUCCUGGGCUUGUUUCUUGGUAAAUACUUUGUCUAUAUGGAAUGCAUCUAAUAAAUGAAUGCUCUCCUA